This 292-nucleotide ribosomal RNA is filed under the name uncultured bacterium. RNAcentral's name for it is "partial 16S ribosomal RNA". It matches the Rfam family "Bacterial small subunit ribosomal RNA", at positions 505 to 796 of the family's 1533-position model. The record is from RNAcentral.
GUGUCAGCAGCCGCGGUAAGACAGGGGUCUCAAGCGUUAAUCGGAAUCACUGGGCUUAAAGGGUGCGUAGGCGGGCCUGUAAGUGUCCUGUGAAAUCCCCCGGCUCAACCGGGGAACUGCGGGGCAUACUGCGGGUCUUGAGGAAGGUAGGCGCCGAGGGAACAGUAGGUGGAGCGGUGAAAUGCGUAGAUAUCUACUGGAACGCCGAUGGUGAAGACGCUCGGCUGGGCCUUUCCUGACGCUGAGGCACGAAAGCGUGGGGAGCAAACAGGAUUAGAAACCCCCGUAGUCC